RNAcentral lists this ribosomal RNA (253 nucleotides) under uncultured bacterium. RNAcentral describes it as "partial 16S ribosomal RNA". It matches the Rfam family "Bacterial small subunit ribosomal RNA", at positions 524 to 776 of the family's 1533-position model. The record is from RNAcentral.
UACGUAGGGGGCAAGCGUUGUCCGGAAUCAUUGGGCGUAAAGAGCUCGUAGGCGGCCUGUCGCGUCGGCUGUGAAAACUCAGGGCUCAACCCUGAGCCUGCAGUCGAUACGGGCAGGCUAGAGUCCGGCAGGGGAGACUGGAAUUCCUGGUGUAGCGGUGAAAUGCGCAGAUAUCAGGAGGAACACCGGUGGCGAAGGCGGGUCUCUGGGCCGGAACUGACGCUGAGGAGCGAAAGCGUGGGGAGCGAACAGG